This 460-nucleotide ribosomal RNA is filed under the name uncultured bacterium. RNAcentral describes it as "partial 16S ribosomal RNA". It matches the Rfam family "Bacterial small subunit ribosomal RNA", at positions 338 to 795 of the family's 1533-position model. The record is from RNAcentral.
CCUACGGGAGGCUGCAGUGAGGAAUAUUGGUCAAUGGGCUUACGCCUGAACCAGCCAAGUCGCGUGAGGGAAGACUGCCCUAUGGGUUGUAAACCUCUUUUGUCAGGGAGCAACGCCGGCUACGUGUAGCCGGACUGAGAGUACCUGAAGAAAAAGCAUCGGCUAACUCCGUGCCAGCAGCCGCGGUAAUACGGGGGAUGCGAGCGUUAUCCGGAUUUAUUGGGUUUAAAGGGUGCGUAGGCGGAAUGCCAAGUCAGCGGUAAAAUCGCGGGGCUCAACCUCGCUCCGCCGUUGAAACUGCAUCCCUAGAGUGCGCGAGAAGUAUGCGGAAUGCGUGGUGUAGCGGUGAAAUGCAUAGAUAUCACGCAGAACUCCGAUUGCGAAGGCAGCAUACCGGCGCGCAACUGACGCUCAUGCACGAAAGCGUGGGUAUCGAACAGGAUUAGAUACCCGGGUAGUC